AUUUGUCUUCCUACCAGCACUAAUGCAUCGGCUCUCAUGAGAACUCCGCAGUUAAGCAUGCUUUGGAUAUAGUAGUUCUAGGAUGGGUGACCUACUCUGAAGUCCUCGUGUUGCACCUC
RNAcentral lists this ribosomal RNA (119 nucleotides) under Lupinus angustifolius (narrow-leaved blue lupine). The record is from RNAcentral. Lineage: Eukaryota; Viridiplantae; Streptophyta; Magnoliopsida; Fabales; Fabaceae.